Molecule: long non-coding RNA, 264 nt
Organism: Arabidopsis thaliana (thale cress)
Lineage: Eukaryota; Viridiplantae; Streptophyta; Magnoliopsida; Brassicales; Brassicaceae
Product: other RNA
Exons: 3
Source: RefSeq
CCGAAAUGUUAAGUGGCGAUACUCGAUUGGUGCCCUUCGCUACAAAAUUGGGAUUUGUUUUUGUCCAUUUUCGGUUUCGGUUCCCUGAGAGUCCCGGAAGCUCAGUGGUCGGAGUGUCGGCGUUCAAUUUCUCGAUGACUAAUAACCCUCAAAUUGUGUUAUAUCCCAGUGACCAGCUUGUCCUUCUCGGUGGAAAGUGACAUACGCUUCAUGCUUCUUUUACAUGUUCUUCAUAAACAGACAGAAAAGAAAAGAGAAGCUUAC